GGGAAGUAAAAAGUCGUAACAAGGUUUCCGUAGGUGAACCUGCGGAAGGAUCAUUACCGAGUGCGGGCUGCCUCCGGGCGCCCAACCUCCCACCCGUGACUACCUAACACUGUUGCUUCGGCGGGGAGCCCCCCAGGGGCGAGCCGCCGGGGACCACUGAACUUCAUGCCUGAGAGUGAUGCAGUCUGAGCCUGAAUACAAAUCAGUCAAAACUUUCAACAAUGGAUCUCUUGGUUCCGGCAUCGAUGAAGAACGCAGCGAACUGCGAUAAGUAAUGUGAAUUGCAGAAUUCAGUGAAUCAUCGAGUCUUUGAACGCACAUUGCGCCCCCUGGCAUUCCGGGGGGCAUGCCUGUCCGAGCGUCAUUGCUGCCCUCAAGCCCGGCUUGUGUGUUGGGUCGUCGUCCCCCCCGGGGGACGGGCCCGAAAGGCAGCGGCGGCACCGUGUCCGGUCCUCGAGCGUAUGGGGCUUUGUCACCCGCUCGAUUAGGGCCGGCCGGGCGCCAGCCGGCGUCUCCAACCUUAUUUUCUCAGGUGACCUCGAUCAGUAGUCCAU
RNAcentral lists this ribosomal RNA (554 nucleotides) under Aspergillus sp. HK-ZJ. Its description in RNAcentral is "eukaryotic LSU rRNA". The stretch from base 211 to 364 matches the Rfam family "5.8S ribosomal RNA". The record is from RNAcentral. Lineage: Eukaryota; Fungi; Ascomycota; Eurotiomycetes; Eurotiales; Aspergillaceae.